CAGCAGCCGCGGUAAUACGGAGGGAGCUAGCGUUGUUCGGAAUUACUGGGCGUAAAGCGCACGUAGGCGGUUAUUCAAGUCAGAGGUGAAAGCCCGGGGCUCAACCCCGGAACUGCCUUUGAAACUAGAUGACUGGAAUCUUGGAGAGGUCAGUGGAAUUCCGAGUGUAGAGGUGAAAUUCGUAGAUAUUCGGAAGAACACCAGUGGCGAAGGCGGCUGACUGGACAAGUAUUGACGCUGAGGUGCGAAAGCGUGGGGAGCAAACAGGAUUAGAUACCCCCGUAGUCCCUGUCUCUUAUAC
This 301-nucleotide ribosomal RNA is filed under the name uncultured bacterium. RNAcentral's name for it is "partial 16S ribosomal RNA". It matches the Rfam family "Bacterial small subunit ribosomal RNA", at positions 509 to 807 of the family's 1533-position model. The record is from RNAcentral.